This 516-nucleotide long non-coding RNA is filed under the name Struthio camelus australis. RNAcentral's name for it is "lncRNA (ENSSCUG00000012317.1)". Lineage: Eukaryota; Metazoa; Chordata; Aves; Struthioniformes; Struthionidae. The record is from RNAcentral.
UGGAGAUGGAGGCUGAAAACCUGAGGGCGGACACAAGCAUCUGCUCUGCCCUCCCCAACGGCUCAGAUGAACAACGUGCACGAGGCAUCUCCGCUGCUGGCCCUUCCUCGAGAAACGGGAGGGCGCCCUCCAGUACCGAACAACCGAGCUCUGGCUUUACGACCGCUCAGAAAACGAGCAAGGCGCAACGCGGAUGCUGCCUCCGACAAGAGCAGCCGCACAGUGCCGUUGAAGGCAGAAGCGCGAGGCUUGGCUGCGUAACGCCACGCAAGGCGUGCGUGUUCUUAAAUCCGGACGGGUUACCCUCAGCCGGCGGCUUUCUAAAGCACAGGGGCAUGUUGGCGGUAGGGCUUCAGGUGAGCCAAAAGCUCUGGCUCUAGUGGAGCUAUUUCAGACCUAGCCAAAAAAGAUCGCAGUCUGUGCUUUAAACUCAAGGCUGGUCGUAGCUGUGAGUCUGGUGAAACGUGGGGAAGUCAACGCGAGGGAUGGGGACGAGGUGCGGGAAACGCAGGGAAA